This 253-nucleotide ribosomal RNA is filed under the name uncultured bacterium. RNAcentral's name for it is "partial 16S ribosomal RNA". It matches the Rfam family "Bacterial small subunit ribosomal RNA", at positions 524 to 776 of the family's 1533-position model. The record is from RNAcentral.
UACAGAGGGUGCGAGCGUUGUCCGGAAUCACUGGGCGUAAAGGGCGCGUAGGUGGCGACCCAAGUCGAUGGUGAAAGCUCGCCGCUCAACGGCGAGUCGGCCACCGAUACUGAGUUGCUGGAGCACUGUAGAGGCAGAUGGAAUUCCGGGUGUAGCGGUGGAAUGCGUAGAGAUCCGGAAGAACACCGGUGGCGAAGGCGGCACUCUGGGACGGUACUGACGCUGAGACGCGAAAGCGUGGGGAGCGAACAGG